CCUACGGGGGGCAGCAGUGGGGAAUAUUGGACAAUGGGGGCAACCCUGAUCCAGCCAUGCCGCGUGUGUGAAGAAGGCCCUCGGGUUGUAAAGCACUUUCAGUGAGGAAGAACGCCUGGUGGUUAAUACCUAUCAGGAAAGACAUCACUCACAGAAGAAGCACCGGCUAACUCCGUGCCAGCAGCCGCGGUAAUACGGAGGGUGCGAGCGUUAAUCGGAAUUACUGGGCGUAAAGCGCGCGUAGGUGGCUUGAUAAGCCGGUUGUGAAAGCCCCGGGCUCAACCUGGGAACGGCAUCCGGAACUGUCAAGCUAGAGUGCAGGAGAGGAAGGUAGAAUUCCCGGUGUAGCGGUGAAAUGCGUAGAGAUCGGGAGGAAUACCAGUGGCGAAGGCGGCCUUCUGGACUGACACUGACACUGAGGUGCGAAAGCGUGGGUAGCAAACAGGAUUAGAUACCCGAGUAGUC
RNAcentral lists this ribosomal RNA (465 nucleotides) under Vreelandella stevensii. Its description in RNAcentral is "partial 16S ribosomal RNA". It matches the Rfam family "Bacterial small subunit ribosomal RNA", at positions 338 to 795 of the family's 1533-position model. The record is from RNAcentral. Lineage: Bacteria; Pseudomonadati; Pseudomonadota; Gammaproteobacteria; Oceanospirillales; Halomonadaceae.